GACACGGCAAAAACUGCAGGAGACAAGUGUUCAUUCAUAAAUGAGAGCAUGCGUAGUAGUUUCAUAGAUACUAACAGGUCUAUUUAACAAAGAAGAUUGUGAAGCAAAACAAGAAUUGUAAAAUGGCAAGACAUUUCAAUUCCCACAUUCAAUUGACAACGACCGACCAAAUACCAUUGCAGUUUAGUGAUUUUAGGGGAAAAAAGAUUUAUUCUAGCCACAGAGAGAUAUUUGCUUGGAAGUUCCGACACGUUCGAUAAUCACCAAUUGACGGUUUCCCAACCUGAAGCAAGAAAGAGAAGUACGAUGAGUUUAAAUAAGAUGUUCACCAUUAUGAGUUUGAUAUCGGAUGAGAUAAAAUACACAGAAAUCCACAUCAUAAAACAAACAAAAAAUCCUGGCAACAAAAAAAUGACAUGCAUUGUAAUUUUCCUGCAUAAAUAAAAGAACUAUCUGAGCAUUCAAAUUGGGAAAACUACAAUGUUCUAAUAUCAAGAAAAAACUAAAAUGUUCUAACAAAAUUAAGUCCAUAGCGAAACACACAGGCAGUUACCCAUAGUUCUGUACUGAAGUAGGUAGUCUAAAAAUCUCAAGGCUAUUUCCUGUAACAUCAUCAAUUUCUGACUACAAGUGCAAAGCUGGAGAAGAAGAAAAUGAAAAUGAAGCAGAUCUGCUACUUCAUUUAUAAGUUUAAAUAGUAGCAUUGUACCAUUUGUAUUUUUUUAAUAGCCUUUAGACAUUGCCCAAAAUUGCAUAUUUGGUUAUUACUAUAUUUGGUACAAUCUAGAUGGCAGGAAAACAACUAUAAGACUACAGUACAUCCACAUUUUAGUUUCUAUUCAUGAACACAGGUGAAAUGCGUAACAAUAACAUAUGGUUUUCCUUCAACAGCUGAUCUAAGAGUAACUCCUUCAGCUGCAUACCACCAAUUCAUGUUUUGGGAUCCUUAUAGGAAAGAGCUGAUGGAGUGGGAGAUAUACUACACCAUUGAACAUACCAACAUAAUAUGUGCAAACUAAACAUAGAUGAUGUUUAUGAUACAACAAAUAAAAGACAUAGAUAAGCCCUUUGCAUGCUGGGUUGUGGUGAUAUAUUGCUGAAACCAGCAGUCAUAUAUUUAGAAAAUACACAACUUUAUGAAAGCAGAGAGAAACGACUGCAGAACUGAAACUCCUAAUGUAGAGAAGGAAACUACAAGAAACUACAAGCAAAUGCUAUAAUUAAAUUACCCUGUGAAACCCCAUUUUCCUGGCUUAGUUCCCUAGAUUUCAUUGUGACAAUUAAACUAUCAGCUUGACAUAAAAAGGACAUGCAUAUCAGCUAGCACAUAGAUAGAGAAUAUUAACAUUGAUUUCUACUGUUUGAUCCACACAAAUAGAAAAAGGGGCAUAUAAAUGUGUAAAACUACACAUUUCAAUGGAAAAGGAAACUUUCAAUAAAUACUACCUUCAAUUCUUAGUUCAAUUUGAUCUGCAUGCACAUGUUAGAAAGUUAAAACACAAACUCAAUUCAACUAAAUUGAAUCUUUGAAAACAAUGUCAAUAUUCCAAUAAUAGAAAUAGGGAACAUUAUAUGAACUUUGCAGCAGUUAUCACUACAUGAUAGUAGCACUGAGGCCCAUGAGCAUCAUACCUUCCAUCCUCUACCUUCAUGCUGAAAAAGCAGAUUUUUUGUCAGCUAUAAUUAGUAUGCAUUUACCAUAAAACGGAAUCAAGCUAUCUUCAGUUAAUUCAUAAUGUUCUCACCACUUAAGUAGUAGAAGUAUGACAGUAAGUACGAGAUACCAAGUGAGUCAAUGACAAUCUGUGCAUCCAAGAUGUCACCGGACAAGACAAGGAUCAUCAAGAGGUAUAUAAUCUCUCGGCAGUACAUGAUGGUGGCCUCUAGCAAUAGAUGGCCCACACCUAGAGAAGAAAAGUGGUUGGAAACGUUAAAAGUAAGGCCUCCAACUCUUACAAGAAAACAUUUCAGUUAAUCUUUUACCUUGGGAGGUACUCUACCUUUUGUAAGUGUUGUUGUUCUCAUUGUCUCAUGAGAGUUGACACUUGAGCAUUAACUUCCUAUGUUAAUUAUGAAACAACCAUGCUCAGAUAAGCGAGAAGAG
Molecule: long non-coding RNA, 2104 nt
Filed under: Triticum aestivum (bread wheat)
Lineage: Eukaryota; Viridiplantae; Streptophyta; Magnoliopsida; Poales; Poaceae
Description: long non-coding RNA (TAES_LNC003056)
Source: RNAcentral